Molecule: transfer RNA, 70 nt
Filed under: Mus musculus (house mouse)
Lineage: Eukaryota; Metazoa; Chordata; Mammalia; Rodentia; Muridae
Source: Rfam by way of RNAcentral
GGGGAUGUAGCUCAGAGGUAGAGCGCUUGACUUACUUGCAAGGUGGGGGUAUACCCUGGGUUCAUCCCUA